RNAcentral lists this ribosomal RNA (484 nucleotides) under uncultured bacterium. RNAcentral's name for it is "partial 16S ribosomal RNA". It matches the Rfam family "Bacterial small subunit ribosomal RNA", at positions 29 to 523 of the family's 1533-position model. The record is from RNAcentral.
AGUGAACGCUGGCGGCGUGCUUAACACAUGCAAGUCGAACGAGAACGGGUUAUAGCUUGCUAUAAUUGUCAGCUAAGUGGCGCACGGGUGAGUAAUGUAUAGGUAAUAUGCCUCUUACUAAGGGAUAACAAAUGGAAACGUUUGCUAAUACCUUAUACUCCUUAUUAACAUAAGUUAAUAAGGGAAAGAUUUAUUGGUAAGAGAUUAGCCUGUAUUGUAUCAGUUAGUUGGUGGGGUAAUGGCUUACCAAGACUAUGACACAUAACUGGUUUGAGAGGAUGAUCAGUCACACUGGAACUGAGACACGGUCCAGACUCCUACGGGAGGCAGCAGUGGGGAAUAUUGCACAAUGGACGAAAGUCUGAUGCAGCAACGCCGCGUGGAGGAUGACACAUUUCGGUGCGUAAACUCCUUUUAUAUGAGAAGAUAAUGACGGUACCAUAUGAAUAAGCACCGGCUAACUCCGUGCCAGCAGCCGCCGUAA